GAAGCAUCGUUCUCCCUGGCUGACUUCUCUUGCUGCCAGGGCUUCAAUGAUGGGAGCCGGCAGCAUGGAGGGAGAGGGGCAACCGCAGAUGUGGUAAACAUUCUGCAGCAGAGGUCUGAGGGCUCUUGCCAAGCUGGGGUGCAGCCCCCAUGGAGUGGGAAGUACAGGGUGGGAGAAGGGAGAAGGUCUAAGGUCCUUUAACCCUUCCCAGCCAGACUCAACACUGCUAUCUCAAGGAACCCUGAAGCACCAUUCUCAUGAGCCAUGACAGUGCUGGAGACCUUGGGGUCUCAGAGGACC
This 300-nucleotide long non-coding RNA is filed under the name Pan troglodytes (chimpanzee). RNAcentral describes it as "long non-coding RNA NONPTRT007546". Lineage: Eukaryota; Metazoa; Chordata; Mammalia; Primates; Hominidae. The record is from RNAcentral.